ACGGGUGCCGGACCUAGAAGGCAUCUGCAUCGAGCAUUUGCCACAGAUGAAGUGGGAUGCCUCAUUUGUCUGAGGGAAGGACGCUAUCUCCUACAAAAGUCAGACUCAAGCUUAUGGGAAUUCAGACGAGCAGAAAGGAGAAAGAAGAAUCUCAGAAACUCAAGAUCUUGAUGACCAAGGUGGUAGAGCUGGGAUUUACCCUAGCAGCACUUGCUCAUGUUUGACAUAAUGCCAUGUUGGAUGAACAGAACAAUAAGUUACGCCAGCUGUGGAGGCUUGGCUGUUCAAGCAUUUCAGGCAUAUUUUCAGCUUUGCUACAAGAGACUUGGUUGCUUGCUGUACAGGGUAAUAUGCAUGCU
This is a non-coding RNA of Amborella trichopoda, 359 nucleotides long. NCBI's taxonomy places the organism in Eukaryota, Viridiplantae, Streptophyta, Magnoliopsida, Amborellales, Amborellaceae. The record is from RefSeq and is a predicted model, not a curated record.